GAUGAAGAACGUAGCAAAAUGCGAUAAGUAAUGUGAAUUGCAGAAUUCAGUGAAUCAUCGAAUCUUUGAACGCGCAUUGCGCCCGCCAGUAUUCUGGCGGGCAUGCCUGUUCGAGCGUCAUUUCAACCCUCAAGCCCCCGGGUUUGGUGUUGGGGAUCGGGCUGUACUCCAGCCCGGCCCCGAAAUCUAGUGGCGGUCUCGCUGCAGCCUCCAUUGCGUAGUAGCUAACACCUCGCAACUGGAACGCGGCGCGGCCAAGCCGUUAAACCCCCAACUUCUGAAUGUUGACCUCGGAUCAGGUAGGAAUACCCGCUGAACUUAAGCAUAUCAAUAAGCGGAGGA
RNAcentral lists this unclassified non-coding RNA (342 nucleotides) under soil metagenome. RNAcentral's name for it is "partial contains 5.8S ribosomal RNA, internal transcribed spacer 2, and large subunit ribosomal RNA". The stretch from base 1 to 120 matches the Rfam family "5.8S ribosomal RNA", at positions 35 to 154 of the family's 154-position model. The record is from RNAcentral.